Molecule: small nuclear RNA, 18 nt
Filed under: Arabidopsis thaliana (thale cress)
Lineage: Eukaryota; Viridiplantae; Streptophyta; Magnoliopsida; Brassicales; Brassicaceae
Description: snRNA_09486
Source: RNAcentral
AAUGAAGGAAGACGCAGG